GACGAACGCUGGCGGCGUGCUUAACACAUGCAAGUCGAACGGAAAGGCCCUGCUUUUGUGGGGUUCUCGAGUGGCGAACGGGUGAUUAACACGUUAGUAACCUGCCCUUGACUUUGGGAUAACUUCAGGAAACUGGGGCUAAUACCGGAUAGGAGCUCCUGCUGCAUGGUGGGGGUUGGAAAGUUUCGGCGGUUGGGGAUGGACUCGCGGCUUAUCAGCUUGUUGGUGGGGUAGUGGCUUACCAAGGCUUUGACGGGUAGCCGGCCUGAGAGGGUGACCGGCAACAUUGGGACUGAGAUACGGCCCAGACUCCUACGGGAGGCAGCAGUGGGGAAUAUUGCACAAUGGGCGGAAGCCUGAUGCAGCAACGCAGCGUGCGGGAUGACGGCCUUCGGGUUGUAAACCGCUUUCGCCUGUGACGAAGCGUGAGUGACGGUAAUGGGUAAAGAAGCACCGGCUAACUACGUG
This 468-nucleotide ribosomal RNA is filed under the name uncultured bacterium. RNAcentral describes it as "partial 16S ribosomal RNA". It matches the Rfam family "Bacterial small subunit ribosomal RNA", at positions 28 to 507 of the family's 1533-position model. The record is from RNAcentral.